This 330-nucleotide ribosomal RNA is filed under the name uncultured bacterium. Its description in RNAcentral is "bacterial SSU rRNA". It matches the Rfam family "Bacterial small subunit ribosomal RNA", at positions 354 to 679 of the family's 1533-position model. The record is from RNAcentral.
UUUAGGAAUAUUCGUCAAUGGGGGAAACCCUGAACGAGCAAUGCCGCGUGAGUGAUGACGGUCCUCUGGAUUGUAAAACUCUGUUGUUUGGAAGAACUGUAAGAAGAGGAAAUGCUUCUUACUUGACGGUACCAUUCAAGAAAGCCACGGCUAACUACGUGCCAGCAGCCGCGGUAAUACGUAGGUGGCGAGCGUUAUCCGGAUUUAUUGGGCGUAAAGCGUCCGCAGCCGGUUUAUAAGUCUAGAAUAAAGCCUGGAGCUUAACUCCAGUUCGUUCUAGAAACUGAUAUACUUGAGUGUAGUAGAGGCAAAUGGAAUUUCUAGUGUAGC